CUUCGGUGCUAGUGGCAGACGGGUGAGUAACACGUGGGAACGUACCUUUCGGUUCGGAAUAAUUCAGGGAAACUUGGACUAAUACCGGAUACGCCCUUCGGGGGAAAGAUUUAUCGCCGAUAGAUCGGCCCGCGUCUGAUUAGCUAGUUGGUGAGGUAAAGGCUCACCAAGGCGACGAUCAGUAGCUGGUCUGAGAGGAUGAUCAGCCACAUUGGGACUGAGACACGGCCCAAACUCCUACGGGAGGCAGCAGUGGGGAAUAUUGGACAAUGGGCGCAAGCCUGAUCCAGCCAUGCCGCGUGAGUGAUGAAGGCCUUAGGGUUGUAAAGCUCUUUUGUCCGGGAAGAUAAUGACUGUACCGGAAGAAUAAGCCCCGGCUAACUUCGUGCCAGCAGCCGCGGUAAUACGAAGGGGGCUAGCGUUGCUCGGAAUCACUGGGCGUAAAGGGCGCGUAGGCGGACUUUUAAGUCGGAGGUGAAAGCCCAGGGCUCAACCCUGGAAUUGCCUUCGAUACUGGGAGUCUUGAGUUCGGAAGAGGUUGGUGGAACUGCGAGUGUAGAGGUGAAAUUCGUAGAUAUUCGCAAGAACACCGGUGGCGAAGGCGGCCAAUGGUCCGAAAC
This 620-nucleotide ribosomal RNA is filed under the name Allobosea sp. RNAcentral's name for it is "bacterial SSU rRNA". It matches the Rfam family "Bacterial small subunit ribosomal RNA", at positions 84 to 740 of the family's 1533-position model. The record is from RNAcentral. Lineage: Bacteria; Pseudomonadati; Pseudomonadota; Alphaproteobacteria; Hyphomicrobiales; Alloboseaceae.